UUUAGAGUUUGAUUCCUGGCUCAGGAUGAACGCUAGCGGCAGGCCUAACACAUGCAAGUCGAGGGGCAGCGGGAGCAGCAAUGCUUGCCGGCGACCGGCGCACGGGUGCGUAACGCGUAUGGAACCUGCCCCCCGCUGGGGGAUAGCCCGCUGAAAGGCGGAUUAAUACCCCAUGGCUUCCAUGGACCGCAUGGUCCGUGGAGUAAAGCUUCGGCGGCGGGGGAUGGCCAUGCGUGCCAUUAGCUUGUUGGCNUGGUAACGGCCCACCAAGGCUGCGAUGGCUAGGGGGUCUGAGAGGAUGGUCCCCCACACUGGUACUGAGACACGGACCAGACUCCUACGGGAGGCAGCAGUGAGGAAUAUUGGUCAAUGGGCGGAAGCCUGAACCAGCCAUGCCGCGUGCAGGAUGACGGCCCUACGGGUUGUAAACUGCUUUUAUGCGGGAAGAAUAACCCCCUCGUGAGGGGGGAUGCCGUACCGCAUGAAUAAGAUCGCAA
Molecule: ribosomal RNA, 497 nt
Filed under: uncultured bacterium
Lineage: Bacteria
Description: bacterial SSU rRNA
Rfam family: Bacterial small subunit ribosomal RNA
Source: RNAcentral